CAUGUUUUGGAUAUGCCGCUAUCACUUUUAGGUACCCCUCCUAUCAAAUUUUGAUAUCCCGCCAUCAAUUUUGGUGUCCAGCACUAUGAAAUUUUGAUAUCCCGCCAUUUGACCUGUUAUACGAUUUUAAAGCUACCCUCUACGACCAGGCAAAGAUUUGAAAAUCACCGAUUGAAGACCCUAAUACUCCGAAACAACAUAAUGGAAACUUCACCAAUCAAAGACCCUAAUACUCUGAAACAACGUAAUCAAAACUUUACUGCCGCUAUAUUCACCAGAGCCACACUAUUGAGGGAUUCAUUAUUGGUUUUUUCCUAUCUCUUCGUCUAUAAAUCUAAAAAGUAGUCAGUGAUGAUUAUGGAUCUGAGUUUGUUGUUCUAACACCUGCGGUUAUUUUGGGGCUUUUGACGGUUGUACCCAUGUUAUCACCCCAUUGAGGAUGCUACUUUUGGGGUUGUUGACGAUUUUGCCCCCGGGUUUGGUGUAUGGCUUCUGCUGUGUUUGCUUUACAUUGUUGGCGUGUUGCUGCAUUGGGGCUUUGAGUGUUUUGCACCUGACUGCCCUGCUUAUUGACUGAAAUGGUUCGUUCCUCUGUUUACCUGUAUGAGCCUUGUUUGCUUAUGUUGUAGUAUUGAUUUCUGGUUGUUCAUUUUUUGUUAUUUUGUAUUUUUCAUGCUUUCGUGGUGUGUUGUUGUCAAGGUUUAAGGCUUAGUUUUUCCUGUUGUUGGCUUUGUUAAUUUUUGGGUUUGCUUGGAGUCCUUGUAUUGGUUGUUGAAGCUGCUCAAAUUAGUUGAGAGAGGGGUUGCUAAAGAGUUUGCUGGAGAUUAAUAUUGAGAAUACAGCUGUCCAGUGGUCGGGUCUACUUUAUUGGCAAUUAACCUUUUAUGCAUGUUUGGAGCUUCUAUAAUUUUUUCAAUCUAAAGGAGAGCCUGGCAUUCAUGUUUGAAGUGCCUCAUCUUAAUGAGGAAUCACGGAAGAAUAUGAUGAACUCGCUUUGUUAUAUGGAAACAGUCAACAAGGCAGGAAAACAAAAGGAGUUUAGAGGAAUAGACCAUGGAGAUGAUCAAGCUGUAAUCCUAAACCUUAACAAUAAACUGUCGCAAUUUCUUGAUGAUGAUUCCACAUGGAGUUUGAAUUUGGACAAUACCUUUUUUCAUGUCAAGCUGAUGUUAUUCAGAUAGUCUUUGUUGUGUUACAUUGUUAGAAACUUAAUAUGGAUUUGUUGAAUUUUUAUUUUCUUUUUACAUCUAUUAUGCAAGCUAAAACGUCCAUUUAAGGUUGCAUAAAAGGGCUUUUCGUUUGUUGUUAGCUUCUUGAAAAGCAUUGACCCUACAUGAGGUAGGCAUUCAAUUCAUUUCUUAAAUUUUUAGCUAAUUUGUUAUUUCUUAUUAGUUGCUUAUGGUUAUUCUCUAGAGUGUUUUGCUCUUUUGUAAGAUGGAAGUUCAUCCCUGGAAUCAAUUGGCAAUGAGAUUGAGAAGGCAACAUCAAGCAUUUCUGAUCUUGGGCAAUUGAUGGAGGUCAGCUAGUUUGUUGGUUUUCUAGUGAUAAUAUAUGUGUUGCAAAUUUUGUUUAGUAAGAUAAGGCUGUAUAUAAAUAAGGUAGGAGACAUUAUUUUUCAUAGGUAAAAGUAUUAGAUUUUUGUUUUGGAAUAUAUAAAUGUAUUGGAUUUGAA
Non-coding RNA from Lactuca sativa (garden lettuce), 1672 nucleotides. The record is from RefSeq and is a predicted model, not a curated record. Lineage: Eukaryota; Viridiplantae; Streptophyta; Magnoliopsida; Asterales; Asteraceae.